RNAcentral lists this ribosomal RNA (525 nucleotides) under uncultured Bacteroidota bacterium. Its description in RNAcentral is "bacterial SSU rRNA". It matches the Rfam family "Bacterial small subunit ribosomal RNA", at positions 9 to 525 of the family's 1533-position model. The record is from RNAcentral. Lineage: Bacteria; Pseudomonadati; Bacteroidota.
GAGUUUGAUCCUGGCUCAGGAUGAACGCUAGCGGCAGGCUUAACACAUGCAAGUCGAGGGGUAGCAGGAUUUAGUUUACUAGAUUGCUGACGACCGGCGCACGGGUGAGUAACGCGUAUACAAUUUGCCUUUUACUGGAGGAUAGCCAAGAGAAAUUUUGAUUAAUACUCCAUAGUAUUAUUUGAUCACCUGGUCGAGUAAUUAAAGCUCCGGCGGUAAAAGAUGAGUAUGCGUUCUAUUAGCUAGAUGGUAAGGUAACGGCUUACCAUGGCGACGAUAGAUAGGGGUCCUGAGAGGGAGAUCCCCCACACUGGUACUGAGACACGGACCAGACUCCUACGGGAGGCAGCAGUGAGGAAUAUUGGGCAAUGGAGGCAACUCUGACCCAGCCAUGCCGCGUGCAGGAAGACGGCCCUAUGGGUUGUAAACUGCUUUUAUACAGGAAGAAACUUAUCCACGUGUGGAUAACUGACGGUACUGUAAGAAUAAGGACCGGCUAACUCCGUGCCAGCAGCCGCGGUAAUA